GACGAACGCUGGCGGCGUGCUUAACACAUGCAAGUCGAACGGAAAGGCCCUGCUUUUGUGGGGUGCUCGAGUGGCGAACGGGUGAGUAACACGUGAGUAACCUGCCCUUGACUUUGGGAUAACUUCAGGAAACUGGGGCUAAUACCGGAUAGGAGCUCCUGCUGCAUGGUGGGGGUUGGAAAGUUUCGGCGGUUGGGGAUGGACUCGCGGCUUAUCAGCUUGUUGGUGGGGUAGUGGCUUACCAAGGCUUUGACGGGUAGCCGGCCUGAGAGGGUGACCGGCGACAGUGGAACUGAGCCAGGGACCAGACUCCUACGGGAGGCAGCAGGGGGGAAUGUGACGCAAUGGGCGAAAGCCUGACGGAGCAAGGCCGCGUGAGGGAAGAAGGUCUUCGGGUCGGAAACCGCGGUUGGAAGGGAAGAACAAGGUUGUAUGAAUACCCGCGGGUCAUGACGGUACCGAAACAGUAAGCAACGGCUAACUACGUG
This 488-nucleotide ribosomal RNA is filed under the name uncultured bacterium. RNAcentral's name for it is "partial 16S ribosomal RNA". It matches the Rfam family "Bacterial small subunit ribosomal RNA", at positions 28 to 507 of the family's 1533-position model. The record is from RNAcentral.